UACAGAGGGCUCAAGCGUUGUUCGGAUUCAUUGGGCGUAAAGGGCGCGUAGGUGGCUCGCUAAGUCAGGUGUGAAAUUUCGGAGCUUAACUCCGAAACUGCAUUUGAUACUGGCGUGCUUGAGGACUGGAGAGGAGACUGGAAUUCAUGGUGUAGCAGUGAAAUGCGUAGAGAUCAUGAGGAAGACCAGUGGCGAAGGCGGGUCUCUGGACAGUGACUGACACUGAGGCGCGAAGGCCAGGGGAGCAAACGGG
RNAcentral lists this ribosomal RNA (253 nucleotides) under uncultured bacterium. RNAcentral's name for it is "partial 16S ribosomal RNA". It matches the Rfam family "Bacterial small subunit ribosomal RNA", at positions 524 to 776 of the family's 1533-position model. The record is from RNAcentral.